This 443-nucleotide ribosomal RNA is filed under the name uncultured Thiobacillus sp. RNAcentral's name for it is "bacterial SSU rRNA". It matches the Rfam family "Bacterial small subunit ribosomal RNA", at positions 933 to 1382 of the family's 1533-position model. The record is from RNAcentral. Lineage: Bacteria; Pseudomonadati; Pseudomonadota; Betaproteobacteria; Nitrosomonadales; Thiobacillaceae.
UGGAUGAUGUGGAUUAAUUCGAUGCAACGCGAGAACCUUACCUACCCUUGACAUGUCCGGAACUUGCCAGAGAUGGCUUGGUGCCGAAAGGGAAUCGGAACACAGGUGCUGCAUGGCUGUCGUCAGCUCGUGUCGUGAGAUGUUGGGUUAAGUCCCGCAACGAGCGCAACCCUUAUCAUUAGUUGCUACGCAAGGGCACUCUAAUGAGACUGCCGGUGACAAACCGGAGGAAGGUGGGGAUGACGUCAAGUCCUCAUGGCCCUUAUGGGUAGGGCUUCACACGUCAUACAAUGGUCGGUACAGAGGGUUGCCAAGCCGCGAGGCGGAGCCAAUCCCACAAAGCCGAUCGUAGUCCGGAUUGUUCUCUGCAACUCGAGAGCAUGAAGUCGGAAUCGCUAGUAAUCGCAGGUCAGCAUACUGCGGUGAAUACGUUCCCGGGUCUU